Molecule: ribosomal RNA, 861 nt
Filed under: uncultured bacterium
Lineage: Bacteria
Description: bacterial SSU rRNA
Rfam family: Bacterial small subunit ribosomal RNA
Source: RNAcentral
GAGUUUGAUCAUGGCUCAGAACGUACGCUGGCGGCACGCCUAACACAUGCAAGUCGAACGAAGUAGCAAUACUUAGUGGCAGACGGGUGAGUAACAUGUAGGUAUCUGCCCUUUGGCCUGGAAUAACACGAGGAAACUUGUGCUAAUACCGGAUAAGUCUUUACGGAGAAAGCUUUAUGCACCAUUGGAUGAGCCUGCACUUGAUUAGUUUGUUGGUGGGGUAAUGGCCUACCAAGACUGUGAUCAAUAGCUGAUUUGAGAGGAUGAUCAGCCACAUUGGGACUGAGACACGGCCCAAACUCCUACGGGAGGCAGCAGUGGGGAAUCUUGCACAAUGGAGGAAACUCUGAUGCAGCGAUGCCGCGUGAGUGAAGAAGGCCCUUGGGUUGUAAAGCUCUUUCGUCGGGGAAGAAAAUGACUGUACCCGAAUAAGAAGGUCCGGCUAACUUCGUGCCAGCAGCCGCGGUAAUACGAAGGGACCUAGCGUAGUUCGGAAUUACUGGGCUUAAAGAGUUCGUAGGUGGUUGAAAAAGUUAGUGGUGAAAUCCCAGAGCUUAACUCUGGAACUGCCAUUAAAACUUUUCAGCUAGAGUAUGAUAGAGGAAAGCAGAAUUUCUAGUGUAGAGGUGAAAUUCGUAGAUAUUAGAAAGAAUACCAAUUGCGAAGGCAGCUUUCUGGAUCAUUACUGACACUGAGGAACGAAAGCAUGGGUAGCGAAGAGGAUUAGAUACCCUCGUAGUCCAUGCCGUAAACGAUGUGUGUUAGACGUUGGAAAUUUAUUUUCAGUGUCGCAGGAAAACCGAUAAACACACCGCCUGGGGAGUACGGCCGCAAGGUUGAAACUCAAAGGAAUUGACGGGG